GCCCAACUGGCGGAAUUGGCAGACGCACCGGAUUUAGGUUCCGGCCACGAAAGUGACUGAAGGUUCGAGUCCCUCGUUGGGCACCA
RNAcentral lists this transfer RNA (86 nucleotides) under Burkholderia cenocepacia. Its description in RNAcentral is "tRNA-Leu". It matches the Rfam family "tRNA". From Rfam's summary of the family: Transfer RNA (tRNA) molecules are approximately 80 nucleotides in length. Their secondary structure includes four short double-helical elements and three loops (D, anti-codon, and T loops). The record is from RNAcentral. Lineage: Bacteria; Pseudomonadati; Pseudomonadota; Betaproteobacteria; Burkholderiales; Burkholderiaceae.